AUGCCCUACUGUGCAGUCUUGAGUGAGGUAUUAUUUAACCCAACAGCCAGCCACACACACCUAGCCUACAUCCUGGAGCUGGUCCUAGUGGCUGAGAAUGCAUCUGGCAUUUUUCAGAACACCUCAGAGUUGCUGUGGCGCCAUGUCAAAGUUUUAAUUCUAAACAAUUCACCAAGCCUAGAAGAAAUGUGCCGCUUUGAAGUUCCAUGUCUCACCGUUCUGCAUCCGUUGGGCUGCACGGCUCCGGCCUUCCCUCCACCUGCAGCAGGCGCCUCCAGACGACCGCCACGGACCUCCAGACGACCGCCACGGACCUCCAGACGACCGCCACGGACCUCCAGACGACCGCCACGGACCUCCAGACGACCGCCACGGACCUCCAGACGACCUCCAGACGACCUCCAGACGACCGCCACGGACCUCCAGACGACCGCCACGGACCUCCAGACGACCGCCACGGACCUCCAGACGACCGCCACGGACCUCCAGACGACCGCCACGGACCUCAUGGCGAGCACCUCCAGACGACCGCCUCCAUCACCUCUACUGAAACAAGACACAAUCUAUUCAAACACUGGAGAUUUUUUUCUCCUCGCUCACUCAGAUGUCAGUAGCUUAUCUUCUCCGCUACUGUGCGUUCUUGAGAAGUAUCAUUUCCUAUAAACUCCCAAACCCAGCCACACAUCUAAUCUUCAUAAGGACACUAGUCCUAGUGGCUGAGAACGCUUGGCUAACAAGCCAAUCACAACCAAUGACUGAAUUCCAGUUUUAUUCUGAACCGUUUGACCACGCCAAGGAGGAGUUUAUAGGAUGUGCAGUUCCACGGCUCACCCGUCUGUUCCUGUAGGACUGAAAGGCUCCUGGCCACCAUCCACCUGCAGCUCCCAGCUCAAGACCCGCUCUGUUGAAGCCUCUGGGAGUACAAUCCGCUCCUGAACAAAGACAACUGUUCAUAAAUCAUUUGGUACUCUGCAAUCCUUGGAAAUAUUAUGAAGCAUGAGCUCGAAUAGAAAAUGUUCAAAUCCUCUAUAAUGAUUAAUUGUUGUACAAAUGUGUAUAGUUCUAUUGAUUACUUUUUUACUUCUAUAAAACAUUUAAUGAAUAGUGGGAAACUACACAAGAAAAGUAAAUGAAUGCGGUUUUAAAGCGGUUAUAUUAGUAAAGCAAGUCUUACCCAAAAAGUCAAUAAAUGGUGACCACAUUUUAUCAUUAUUAUUAUUAACUAUUUAGUGCUUCACUAAAUUCCUAUAGCAAGUGGAAACGUUACUCUCCUUCAUUGGUGAUGAUGUUCAUGUUCCUCGAUAUCUUCCAAUGGACUCGUUGUGAAAUCCUUCUGGAUCCUCUGCGUUGAAGUGCGGUUCAAUUUCCAAGGGGCGUGUCUAAAGGGCGCGAUCUAAAAUGGGUCGAUGCUAAGCUAUUGGAUAGGCCUCGACUAAUCAUAGCAUUGGAACGGGUGAUGCAGAAAUGCAUAUUCCUCAAAAUCUUUUAGUAGACGUUCUUUUAGUGAGCAUAUACAGUCUUUAGUUCCCCAACUUCCAUCUUUGUUGUUGAAACACCUCUACAUGUUGCAUAUAUCCAACAUCACAUUAGAUAGCCUAAAGGGUUGCUAUUGGUUGGUCUAUUUCGUACCGGGCAGAAAACGUUAUAUAACGGAGGGGCGCCUGACCGCAUCUUUGAAGAGCAAAUUAUAUACGAGGUCCGUCUAGUUCCGAAGCCAUUGGUGAAAUACGCAAAACGAAUAUUGAAAUUUUAAUUUCGGCAUUUAAUUUGCAUCUACAUUUUGCCAGUGAAGGAGUUUAGGUUUGCCAAUCCGAGGUCUAACAGGCAGUAAACAUGUUCAUUAAAAUACAAAUGCAAAGUCCACAGAACAUACGCGAAUAAAAACCACAUUGCACCACCAGCGGUCAACAGCAGCAGCAAGUAUUGAAAGUAGAAAAGUAGUAAAGAGAAGAAUAGAAUUGGGAGAGUGGUGUGCAAGUCAGACACCGCAUCUAACCCAGGACCACCUUGCAGAUCACAAGCAGCAAACCUUCUACCAGACCAACCAAAUACACAACAGGCCCCCAGUCAGUAGGGUCAGUCAGACAGGUUUCCACAGAAGGGCUCAGUGGGGUUAUGGGUUGAGCAAAAACAGAACCCUUCCUUCCACAAGUUUCCAUCCUGGAUUUUUUUCGGACAUGUGGAGUCGGACAUGUUUCAAGUUAUCCGUGGAUUCUUGAGGGCAGUGAAGUAUCUGCAGAAGGUGACGUCCAGGUCCAGCGGUGUGCCGCAUUGACCACGAGAUCUUUAACCGAGUGGGACCGCCUCGGUUUGUAGUAGGCCUAGAACAGUUUGUGUUCAACAGCGUGGAGGUCCUCGUUUCCAUCAGAGUUGCUGCAGUUCUUCCAUGCUGCUUCCACAGUGAGCAGAGGACACUUCCCAGUGUGGUGGUCGGUGCUGUAGCGGUCCGCAGCGUUAGUUAGUCAGUCGAUCCCAUAGAUAAACCACUCAACACAAACUACCACUUCCAUCAGCAAAUCCACAUUAACCUCCAGCGGUAAAACAUGUACAAUAGAAGAGCGAGAACAGACGACAGGAGGAGAUGGGAAGAGUGUAACAUGUGCAGUGCUCAUGAAGGAAGUAGGCUACCCCGCGUUACUCACUGCGUGGGUCCCGGUGGCGGGGGGUCAACGUCGGUGGCCACGAUGUCCGGAUUGUUCAGCCCACGCAAUCCAACGCAAAAUAAACGAUUAAAAUCCGUCACGGUGGGGGCGCUUUAUGAGGAGAGGCGGGGGAGACGCAGCUGAAAUCAAUUAAGAACUAGUGACCUCCAGAAGAACGUGAUUGGUUGUGAGCGAGAAGCUCGAGACGAGAGACGGCAAAGGCCUGCGUAUUGGUUAGAGCAUAAGUUCAGGCACUGACUGAUAUGACCAUAUCAACCGGUGUGCUGACUACUUGUACACAAGGAACCAUUAGAUUUUAUUGCAUAGAUUUAGAGAAAAUGUCAUUUGAAAAACGUACACAUGCAUAUUCUCGCCUUUGCAAAAUUGUAUUAUGUCAGCACUUUGAAGUGGGCUAUAGACCGAAUUUCACAUAAAUUCAGGCACUGACUGAUAUGACCAUACUAACUGGUGUACUGACUAUACAUGAUACUGAUGAAUAAUUAUGUUAGAUUCUAAAAAAAUUGAAAUGUUCUAAAAUAGGUACAAUAUUAUAACCACGUUAAUAAGGUUUGUAAGAAACCAAACCGUUGGGAAAACGGUUGAAAAUGUAGCAAGUUAUGGUUAUUUAUAAUGUACAUACAGUAGGCCUACCACUACCCGGGGGGGGGGGGGGGGGGGGGGGGGUAGGGAGCAAUUGUUUAUUUUUUUUUAUUUUUUAUUGCCAUGGGCCCCCCCUCUGCCUUGGGCCCCCCCACAACUGCCUCACUUUCCCCCGCAGUCCGUCGGCCCUGCCACUACCAACACAAUGUUAUGGGUGAGCAGCUGACUGGCAAGAUGUCCGCAAGUGCGGACAUUCUAGACGCCGCCGUAAGACAGCUAGUGUUCUAUAUAUCUACACACGUAGGUGAAGGGUUUUAUUUUGAAAACGUUGCGAGAUACCACCCAAAGGCUGUUUAGAGUAAAGGCGCACGAAGAUUUUGUGUGACGGCUGGCUUAACCGCGGAUGAACGAAUGGCGGCUCACUUGACCGCAGUCAUAAUACGGGGGGCUCUUAGCUCCACGACCCGGCCACCAUGGGGCCCACAUUGACCUGCCCAUUAAAACCAAACACACACACACACACACACACACACACACACACACACACACACACACACACACACACACACACACACACACACACACACACACACACACACACACACACACACACAUUUUAUGGCUGUAUGUAUGUAUGUAUUAAUGCAGUAUG
Gadus morhua (Atlantic cod) is the source of this 3894-nucleotide long non-coding RNA. The record is from Ensembl. Lineage: Eukaryota; Metazoa; Chordata; Actinopteri; Gadiformes; Gadidae.